This 93-nucleotide transfer RNA is filed under the name Pseudolysinimonas yzui. RNAcentral's name for it is "tRNA-Phe". The record is from RNAcentral. Lineage: Bacteria; Bacillati; Actinomycetota; Actinomycetes; Micrococcales; Microbacteriaceae.
GCCCACGCGGGCGGAGCGGUGCGCGCCUCGGGGCUGAAAUCCCGGGGGCGGAACGACUGCGGAGCCUGCGGUUCGGGCACCUGCACCUGGGCC